GGCACUUAGUGGCGAAUGGCGGUUGUUGUUACGUGGGGUGUUUGAGUGUGUGUGUGUUGGCGGUGGUGUAAGAUGGAGUGUUUGAGUCGUGUGCGUGUGUUGGGUAAAGAAAGGCGCGGAGAGCAAUGAGAAAGCGACACAUGGAGAGACGUAAUUAGAUUAAUUAUUAUACUGCAGUUAUUUAUGUAUCCAUGAGAUCCAUACUGAGCGGUAAAACUCGUUUUCAGGAGAGUGCUGCCGCAAAUGUUGUCUUUAAAGAUGUUAUCAGUCAAUUAAUGAGAAGUGUUGUUUAUGACGCACGUGGGAGCAGACCGGAGCACCGGGGGAAAACCCACGCGCCCGCGGGGGGGGGGGCAACGCUCUUAACCCGCCGUACAGAUGGAAACAGAUGGAUAUUCGUCCACUCGCUGUACUGCCGUCUUCUGGCAAGCCCACCCACAGCAGGAACGUGUCUCUCUGGCCAAAAGCUCACCGCUUCCUGACGUGUCGGCACCGCGGAUGUUCACGCGGAGGUCACCCACACGCGGCGCGUUUCUUCCUUACCUGGAGCGUGUCGGUCACCAACUACGCAAACUAAAUUCAACGCAAGUACUACAACCUACGGGGUGGCCCAGAUGUCUUGUGACCCCCAACCCCCCACCCCCCUCCCCCCAUUCAAUUCUCUUAAACGUAAUGUGUUUCUCAGUAAGGUGUCUUUAAAAUAGAAAUUAAUAUGCAAAGGAUUUUUUUAGGAGUCAAUUAAUUGGGGAUCACAAUACAUCUGGACCACUAGCUAGUUUUUCGUUUAUAUUGUAGCUUUCGUGUUGAUUGAUAUUUGCUUUAUCGCUGUACUUUGAUUGAUAUCGUUUUUGUGCCCUUGUCAUGUUGGUGACCCAGGCCUCUCUCGCAAAUGAGAGUCGUCUUGACUUUCUCAGCUGGUUAUACAGAAAUAAACUGCAAGCGGUAUCGUUUGGAUGCUGUUAUUAGCCCACGUGUGCUCUCCCAUCCACGUGUUCAUCUCAGUAUAUAUAUCUCUCUCUCUCGGUGCAAUUCCAAGGACGCGCCUGUCUCCCCGUGCUCAUUUCUACGCCACCGCCGUUCAAUCUUCUUAAGAUUGCGUGCCAUUGUUUCAUUGUGAUCUAGACUAAUAAUGACAAUAUGCCCACAAUUUUUAGGUUAUUUUCAUUUUGCGGUGUCACACGAGGCGGUGUGCAUUAUCCACUGAAUUUCUCCCUGGGGUGUCGUGAUGGGUACAGUACAACAUUCAUAUUCCCAGCCGCCCGACGCGCCUGCACAAUAUUAAUGCGUUUCAUUUAUUUACCGAGGUAAUUGCUUGCUUAUAAUUUAGAUAUUUAUUUGUUUGUGUAUUUUACGUUGUCACCUACGCGGCCCCGGUUUUGUUGUUGUUGUUGUAAACGGAAUUCCAGCGCGGUCCAUCGCGCAAGUCGAUCACCGCGGCCGUGACGGCGCUUCGGGUCAUCGAUUCAUGAUAUCGAUUGUUGAGCCCGUGAUAGAGCUCGGGGAAUCUUGCGCGUGAAACACUCCGUCUCCGUUUUCCCUACAGUCACCCUCCCUUUACCACGCCUUCCCCUCUCCGACACUCAAACCCCGUCCCUUUCCCCCCAUCAGCCAAAUGCUAAUGUACAAUUUAUAAUUCUUGUAAAGCGCUUUGACAAAAGUUCCGUACGAAAUCCGA
Molecule: non-coding RNA, 1675 nt
Organism: Petromyzon marinus (sea lamprey)
Lineage: Eukaryota; Metazoa; Chordata; Hyperoartia; Petromyzontiformes; Petromyzontidae
Source: RefSeq, a predicted model, not a curated record